AACUUAGCUUGCUAAGUUUGAUGGCGACCGGCGCACGGGUGAGUAACACGUAUCCCACCUUCCGUUUACUCAUGGAUAGCCUUUCGAAAGAAAGAUUAAUACCUGAUAGUAUGGUGAGAUUGCAUGAUAGCACCAUUAAAGAUUUAUUGGUAAACGAUGGGGAUGCGUUCCAUUAGGUAGUAGGCGGGGUAACGGCCCACCUAGCCGACGAUGGAUAGGGGUUCUGAGAGGAAGGUCCCCCACAUUGGAACUGAGACACGGUCCAAACUCCUACGGGAGGCAGCAGUGAGGAAUAUUGGUCAAUGGGCGAGAGCCUGAACCAGCCAAGUAGCGUGAAGGAUGAAGGUCCUACGGAUUGUAAACUUCUUUUAUACGGGAAUAAAGUAUCCUACGUGUAGGAUUUUGUAUGUACCGUAUGAAUAAGCAUCGGCUAACUCCGUGCCAGCAGCCGCGGUAAUACGGAGGAUGCGAGCGUUAUCCGGAUUUAUUGGGUUUAAAGGGAGCGCAGACGGGAGAUUAAGUCAGUUGUGAAAGUUUGCGGCUCAACCGUAAAAUUGCAGUUGAUACUGGUUUCCUUGAGUGCAGUUGAGGCAGGCGGAAUUCGUGGUGUAGCGGUGAAAUGCUUAGAUAUCACGAAGAACCCCGAUUGCGAAGGCAGCUUGCUAAACUGUAACUGACGUUCAUGCUCGAAAGUGUGGGUAUCAAACAGGAUUAGAUACCCUGGUAGUCCACACGGUAAACGAUGGAUACUCGCUGUUGGCGAUAUACUGUCAGCGGCCAAGCGAAAGCAUUAAGUAUCCCACCUGGGGAGUACGCCGGCAACGGUGAAACUCAAAGGAAUUGACGGGGGCCCGCACAAGCGGAGGAACAUGUGGUUUAAUU
Molecule: ribosomal RNA, 882 nt
Filed under: uncultured Bacteroidaceae bacterium
Lineage: Bacteria; Pseudomonadati; Bacteroidota; Bacteroidia; Bacteroidales; Bacteroidaceae
Description: bacterial SSU rRNA
Rfam family: Bacterial small subunit ribosomal RNA
Source: RNAcentral